Long non-coding RNA from Gadus macrocephalus (Pacific cod), 1515 nucleotides. RefSeq lists it as uncharacterized. The transcript is spliced from 2 exons. NCBI's taxonomy places the organism in Eukaryota, Metazoa, Chordata, Actinopteri, Gadiformes, Gadidae. The record is from RefSeq and is a predicted model, not a curated record.
UGUAUGUGCACGUGUGCUUGUGUGUUUUUGUGCAUGGACCCACACGUUGUGAGAGCAGUGUGUUUACAGGUUUGUUGGGUUGCACAUAGUCGUGCAGUCCUUCCCAGAGGAACAAUGCUGGUCCUCUCCCCUCAGCGCAGUAUGCUGUGUGUAAACAACGUGGAUGGGAGCACUCGUAGGGACAAACAGAAGGACACGAUUCUGAGAGUAAAUAGACGGUCCAUCACCACGUCGACUUUUCAUCCUCCCAGGCGAUGGUUCAUUUCCAUUCCAGCGGCGAUGAGAGAGCGACAUGACAGAGCAAGGCAUCGCUCCAGCACUCCCAGGGCCAGAUCUCCUCGGUGAUAACAUCAACACACCUGCGAAACCACGUCGACCGAGCCGCUCAUCUGACGGUGUUUAGACUGGCCGUGGGAAAAUGACAGCCGCAGCCGUGAGCAUUACCGCACAGGCUCUCCGUCAUCACCGCUGAGAGGACUCUGUGUGGGUGUCAGUUAAGAAGUACAUGUAAGAAAAGCAGCCAGUGCAUUGUUAUAAGUGGAGUGUACUCACUGUUACGAGUGGUCUAUUGAGUCGAACAUUCGGGCAGUCCCAAGCACUAUUUUGAGGUUGGUGUUUUGGUAUUCACUUUUAUAUCAUAUUUUAUUUAUAUUUAUUAUAUAUUUUUUUUACAAAUUCUGAUAAAAAAGGAUGUGUUGAACUUGGACUUGCAGAUGGAUUUGAUAAACACUGAUGUUAUAUUGUGUGAUGUGGAUGUAAACAGCACACGUGCUCACUUUUUAAUGCAGUUUACCCUUAACUGUUACCCCAGAACUCUGAAUCGAUUCCUUUCCGAUUUGCACUUAUAGCUGUUAUCAUUCGGGUGAUGCAACACAAUGUCAAAUCACGGUCAGUCAAUGUUGAAAUAAAUCCAGAAACUCGUCCCCUUGCUCUACGGAAUUAACCUUCGUUGAAACACUGCCCUGAUCAACAGGGCCUGCGAUGACCUCCGACCUCUCCUCCGCGUCUACUGGAAGAGAAGGAGGGGGCCCCCACGGUGGCCAUUUUGUCAGGGCCUGAGACAGAGAGGCAGCCCAGUGUUUAGAUAGAGUAGGAGUCACUGUAAGCUGUCUGAAGUGGAGUCUUCCUCUCUCACUAGAAAACAGAACCCUCUGAAAACAAACUGCCUCAAGAGAGAGGGACAGCUAGCGUGUUUGUGUGUGUGUGUGUGUGUGUGUGUGUGUGUGUGUUUGUGUGUGUGUGUGUGUGUGUGUGUGUGUGUGUGUGUGUGUGUGUGUGUGUGUGUGUGUGUGUGUGUGUGUGUGUGUGUGUGUGUGCGUGUGUGUGUGUGUGUUUUGUUAUUAAAAUAAUAACAGAAAACCAAAGUUAUGGUACAAAUAAUGACGCGUGUGCGUGAGUGUGUGUGUGUGUGUGUGUGUGUGUGUGUGUGUGUGUGUGUGUUUGUGCACAUGCGGGCCCGCCUGUGUGUGUGUGUGUGUGUGUGUGUGUGUGUGUGUGUGUGUGUGUGUGCGUGUG